Molecule: ribosomal RNA, 496 nt
Filed under: uncultured bacterium
Lineage: Bacteria
Description: partial 16S ribosomal RNA
Rfam family: Bacterial small subunit ribosomal RNA
Source: RNAcentral
GAUGAACGCUGGCGGCGUGCCUAAUACAUGCAAGUCGAGCGAACAGACGAGGAGCUUGCUCCUCUGAUGUUAGCGGCGGACGGGUGAGUAACACGUGGAUAACCUACCUAUAAGACUGGGAUAACUUCGGGAAACCGGAGCUAAUACCGGAUAACAUGUUGAACCGCAUGGUUCAACAGUGAAAGACGGUCUUGCUGUCACUUAUAGAUGGAUCCGCGCCGCAUUAGCUAGUUGGUAAGGUAACGGCUUACCAAGGCAACGAUGCGUAGCCGACCUGAGAGGGUGAUCGGCCACACUGGAACUGAGACACGGUCCAGACUCCUACGGGAGGCAGCAGUAGGGAAUCUUCCGCAAUGGGCGAAAGCCUGACGGAGCAACGCCGCGUGAGUAAAGAAGGUCUUCGGAUCGUAAAACUCUGUUAUUAGGGAAGAACAAAUGUGUAAGUAACUAUGCACGUCUUGACGGUACCUAAUCAGAAAGCCACGGCUAACUACGU